Molecule: non-coding RNA, 24 nt
Filed under: Arabidopsis thaliana (thale cress)
Lineage: Eukaryota; Viridiplantae; Streptophyta; Magnoliopsida; Brassicales; Brassicaceae
Source: RNAcentral
AUAGUUCGCUAACCCAUCCGCUAG